CUCAGGGUGAUCGAUGCAUCCAUCAUGCCGAACAUCAAUAGCGGAACACCGGUGGGACCUGCAAUGAUGAUAGGAGAGAAAGGCUCGGAUUUAAUCAAAGAGGAUUGGGCAGCACUCUAAUACUAAUAAAUAUGUCUACAAGAUAUGUGGAUAAAGUGAACGUGGGGUCGCAAGAAAUUCUCUGUGUAUGACGAUAUAAAACAUGAAAUAAUGAAAAUAGUUGAACAAGUCUAUGUAAUACUGUCUAUGUGAAGUUCGCUAAAGCCGAAGGGUACGGGUGAAUUGCGGCUGCGCAAAUCGCUAGUAAAUAUAUUAAUCAUAAUUUGUGA
This is a long non-coding RNA of Dinoponera quadriceps, 329 nucleotides long. RefSeq lists it as uncharacterized. The transcript is spliced from 2 exons. NCBI's taxonomy places the organism in Eukaryota, Metazoa, Arthropoda, Insecta, Hymenoptera, Formicidae. The record is from RefSeq and is a predicted model, not a curated record.